Molecule: transfer RNA, 64 nt
Filed under: Segonzacia mesatlantica
Lineage: Eukaryota; Metazoa; Arthropoda; Malacostraca; Decapoda; Bythograeidae
Description: tRNA-His
Rfam family: tRNA
About the family: Transfer RNA (tRNA) molecules are approximately 80 nucleotides in length. Their secondary structure includes four short double-helical elements and three loops (D, anti-codon, and T loops).
Source: RNAcentral
ACCUAAAUAGUUUAAAUAAAAUGUUAGCUUGUGGCGCUUAAGAUGUAUGUAAGUACUUUGGGUA